GACGAACGCUGGCGGCGUGCCUAAUACAUGCAAGUCGAGCGAGUCUGCCUUGAAGAUCGGAGUGCUUGCACUCUGUGAAACAAGAUACAGGCUAGCGGCGGACGGGUGAGUAACACGUGGGUAACCUGCCCAAGAGAUCGGGAUAACACCUGGAAACAGAUGCUAAUACCGGAUAACAACAGAUGAUGCCUAUCAACUGUUUAAAAGAUGGUUCUGCUAUCACUCUUGGAUGGACCUGCGGUGCAUUAGCUAGUUGGUAGGGUAACGGCCUACCAAGGCGAGUAUUGAUAGGCGGGGUGUGGGGCUGAUCGGCCCCACUGGGGCUUAGACACGGUCCCAACUCCUACGGGGGGCAGCAGUAGGGAAUCUUCCACAAUGGACGCAAGUCUGAUGGAGCAACGCCGCGUGAGUGAAGAAGGGGUUCGGCUCGUAAAGCUCUGUUGUUGGUGAAGAAGGACAGGGGUAGUAACUGACCUUUGUUUGACGGUAAUCAAUUAGAAAGUCACGGCUAACUACGUG
Molecule: ribosomal RNA, 519 nt
Filed under: uncultured bacterium
Lineage: Bacteria
Description: partial 16S ribosomal RNA
Rfam family: Bacterial small subunit ribosomal RNA
Source: RNAcentral